RNAcentral lists this long non-coding RNA (5063 nucleotides) under Canis lupus familiaris (dog). RNAcentral describes it as "lncRNA (ENSCAFG00000054354.1)". Lineage: Eukaryota; Metazoa; Chordata; Mammalia; Carnivora; Canidae. The record is from RNAcentral.
GGGCGGGGCGUGCGUCACGUGACGCCCAGGCGGCCUCCCUAUUGGCCAGACUCCGCCCGGCCGUGGGAGCUUUAAACUCCAGGCUGACCUACGAACCUGCGGCGAACGUCAUGCGCGCUUCCUGAUCCGUUACCUUGGAAACGGCUUAACCCUUUCCUCCGGCAAGAUGCUCAGGCGCUGGCCGGCCGCGCAGGACCGGGAAGGCCUAGUCCGGGCGAGUUGCACAGCCUCCUCGGCGGACCUCUCAUCCAGGCGGGAAGUCCCCGGAGGAUGCGGAAGACGUUUGGAACUUGGCAUCCUCGUGAUGAGGAGUCCUAACCCCUGUUUGGGAGAUGGGGGGUCAAAGGGUGCAACCCUCGUGCAUCCCAUUUCUGCAUUGGGCGGGCUGCUGCAGAUGUCAGGCACGGCUCCAGGCCGUGGAUUGAGCAGCGAUGGGGGCAGAGGAGUCUGGGUGCUUACGGGGGAGGAAGGGGAGAAGGACAACAAAUGUUGGGGGGCGUCAAGCUCAAUGCAAGGAAAAUCACAACAGUCGAUGCUGCGAUGGUGAUGGUGAUGAUUGGGCGGCUGCUGGAGGGGCGGGCCUUUGGAGGACACGCGGAAGCCGUGGUUUGCUUCAACCGCCAGGCUGACGUCGGAUGGAAGAGCGUUCCAGGCAAAGUGAAGAGCGAAUUCAAAGGCCUUGCAUUGGGUUUGAUGGGGGGGGGGGGGGGGGGGGGGGGGGAAUAGGAGAAAGUAAGAAGAAAUAAGCUUGGAGAAGUAAGCAAACAUAGGCCGCAUCCUGUAAGGCUUUGUAAGCUGAGGAAGGAAUUGUUGAGGAUUUAAAUGCAACAGAGAGCGAUGGAGAAUUCUUUUUUUUUUUUCUUUUAAGAUUUUAUUUAUUUAUUCAUGAGACACAGGCAGAGGGAGAAGCAGGCUCCAUGCAGGGAGCCCGACGUGGGACUCGAUCCAGGAACUCCAGGACCAGGCCCUAGAAUUCUAAAGAGGGGAGGGGGCACCUAUGCUCUACCCUUUUUGUCUCUAAAAGUCUUCCCUGCAGAGAAUGGAAUUUUUUUUUUUUUUUUAAGGAGGUCACAGAGGAAGCAAGGAGAUUGAGACUAGUAGUCCCAACACGGACACAAUCCUGAAAGGCCUAAUUUUCCAAUGACCUUGACAUUCCUUUUCUUAGAAUCCAUUAGGUCAGAGCCAUGGUGCCCGGCUGCUGCCUUUUGUUAAAAGCAUCUGGAUGCAUCUUCAGUUACUGCUGUUUAAUAAGAGAAAUGAGUGGAAACUUUUUUGUUACUUGGGAAAAUGAAUGUCCCAAAAGGAAAGUCAUUAUUGAUUGAUUGAUUGAUUGAUUUUUCUCUAUGGACACCACACAGAUAACUACCUCUUCUAUCUAUUCCUAAAGUCAGUUCUAUGAAAAAAAAAAACAACAACAACAUAAAGUCAUGUUCGGUGCAGAUAUUUAUUUCCUAAUUAUAAGAUGUGAAAAGAUAGAGGUUGAAGGUUUAGGAUAUGAAAAUGUUUCACUAAAAGAAUCAGAAAUCAGGAGACUGUAUUGCCACCGGAAGAUCUCUCAUUAACUGGUAAAGUGACCAAAUCAAGGUUCCUUAUCAUUCCUGAGUGUCAGCUUCCUUCAUACAUAAAACAAGACAAUUUAACUAGCUUACACACAGAGUGGUUAAGCCUGAAUUACACUUUGGCAUGCACGCAUCAGUAAGACGGAAGCUGGAAAGGGAAAUGAAAUUUUUGUAAAAUCUAAGAGUCAGCAGCGCAAGCCAAAUGAAAUUGGAUGCCCCUACUCUUGCGUGUGUGUGCACGCACACACACACACACACACACACACACACACACCCCAGCUGAGGAACUAUGAAACUGGUUCAUACAGAUACCAGGAAUGCUUCCCUAAGAAACCUUGGCCUUCUCAGAGUGUGAAAACGGAAGCAUUGCCACCUGUUCAACUUCAUAUUCCCUGUAGCUAUUUUGAACCCACGUAGUAUUUAAUAAUGGUUCACAUGUUCCUGAUCAAGAUUUAAGAAAUAGAAAAUCUUUAAAAGAUCCGAGGCGACAUUUUAAAGUUAAGCUAACACUUUAAUGUUAAUGAAAAUAAGAUUUCAAAUAAGCACUACUUUUUAAAGGGGAAAAAUGCUAAAAAGAGAAAAGGCAUUAUUUUAGCAAAUUAAGACUAUUCUUUUAAAAUGCUGAAAAAAAUGGAGCGCUCUCUUUUGCGUGCUGUUUGCAGUCCUCGUAAUGAUUAACUGAAACAGCUGCUUGGUACUUCUAAUGUAGUUGAACAAUGGACUCCACUCCACCACUCUUACAUAUAUUAAUAGAGCCAUAAAUCCUCCCAACUCACCCUAGCAAGACAGACCUUGGUCUCUUUUGCUAGCUACAAUUAUUUGGAGUACAAUGAAUGUGAAGUGAGAAAAAAUUGAAGAUCAAGAUCCAUUUCUGUGGAUGUCCCUAGUUCCUGGAUUCUUUUUAAAAGUAUUUUCUGUCUUAACAGCUUUAUUUAUUUAUUUAUUUAUUUAUUUAUUUAUUUAUUUAUUUUUAAAUUAGCUUUUUAUAUUUUUUUUAAUUUUUAUUUAUUUAUGAUAGUCACAGAGAGAGAAAGAGAGAGAGGCAGAGACAUAGGCAGAGGGAGAAGCAGGCUCCAUGCACCGGGAGCCCGACGUGGGAUUCGAUCCCGGGUCUCCAGGAUCGCGACCUGGGCCAAAGGCAGGCGCCAAACCGCUGCGCCACCCAGAGAUCCCAACAGCUUUAUUUAAAUAUAAUCCACAUACCAUACAAUUCACCUGUUUUAAAGUGUACAGUUAAAUCUGUUUUGGUAUAUUCCCGGAGGUGCAAUCAUCACCAAGAUUUAAUUUUAGGACAGUUUUGCCCCCCCCCCCCAAAAGAAACUCCACCCAUUAGCAGUCAGUCCCCCACCUCAUCCCCAGCCCUAAGCAACCACUAAUCUACUUUAUGUCUCUACAUUUGCCUAUUCUGGGUAUUUCAUAUACAUGGAAUUAUACAAUAUGUGGUCGUUGGUGUCUCCAUUCACUUAUAAUGUUUUCAAGGGUCAUCCUUUGAAACCCUUGUGUUUCAAGGGUUUGUACAAACCCAUCCUUUGUGUUGUAGCUUCUGUCAGCAUUUCAUUUCUUUUUAUUGCCAAAUGAUGAUUCCACUGUAUAGACAUAGCACAGUUUAUUUCUCAUUUUAUCACUUAGUAGACAUGUGGAUUGUUUCCACUUUCUGGCUCUUAUGAAAAUAAUGCUUUGAGCAUUUGUGGCCAGGUUUUGUGUAGAUGUUGAUCAUUCUCUUUCAAUACUCAAUAAAAUUUAUCCUGUUUACAAAGUCCAUAUUUCCUUGCCUAGCACAGUUACUUUGCUCCUACCUUUGCCCUUCUUGCCUGCUGUUUGAAGUAAGUGCUCUUCUCCCCACAGGGCUGGCACUUCUACUGAGGCAGCUCACUCCUCUGCUUAAAAAGCCUACAGUUGCUUCAUAUGAUUCCACCCAUGAUCUACCUUACUCUCUUCUGCUAUUAUUUCUCCCUCUCAGAAAGUCUUUCUUACAGUUCCUUAAAGUAGGGCCAGAUCCUCCACGCUUUGGAGACUUCCCACACACUUUGCAGACUUCCUUCAGCAUCAGGUGUUUUUUCCCUAUCUGCCCCCUUAGCCUCUGAAUGCCCAUGAAUCCUUCAGCAUUCAGCUGUACUCUCAUUUCCUUAAGAACCCUUGUCCUAAAAAAAAAAAAAAAAAAAAAGAACCCUUGUCCUACCUCCCCAGAUGAGGUAAGCUCCUCCCUAUCUGGACUCUUAUUUUUUUUUCCCCAAUGCAUUUAGCAACAUAUGAUUUUUAUUUGAUUAUUUGGUCUUUCUCCUCUAAUAGACGUAGAAUGUAUAAGUAGGAACCACAUCUGUUAUUAAUUACAUAUGCCUGGCACAUAGUGUUAUUAGUUACUCAAUACCUAUUAAUUGGAAGGAAGGGGAGUAGGAAGGAAGGAAGACAGGAAAAAAAAGACGAGGGAAUGGGGGAAGGAAGGUAUCGUCACAGCUUAUUCUGUGUUCUAUUUUUCUCUCCCUUGUAGUGUUGAAAUAAAUUUCUAGGCCCAAGAUGAAACUGCUCCUGCACAAGGUGCCACCUCAGCAAACCAAAACUUAAAUAACUCUCCUGUCUGUGUAAAUGUUCCACUAGAUCAAAACUGCAGUAUGUCGGGUCAGCCAGUCCCCCGAAACCAAGCCAACUCGGGGCUCUAUACUUAUUUCUUUGUUCUUUCUCCCUCCAAACAAAGUUGACUAUGUGGCCCCAGCCAAUCAGAUAUUUUCUAUUUUUCUUUUCCUUGUUCUUUUUUUCUUUAUUCUAUAAAAGCCUCCUGAUUGCUGCCCCACUUUGCAAUUCUCCAAAGGAGACUUUCCACUUCAUGAAAUACAAAAUAAAGUUCAUUUGUAUCCCCUAAAUUGUUUAAUCAUUUUUUUAACACUAGGAAUCUUCAGUAAAGCCUUGAUAAGCGUUAUAAACCAAAACUGCCCUGUGGUAAGGGGAAUUAAUGGAAGGCCCAUUCUAUGCCUGAGAGGGUGUAGGAGGGGACACAAGUAUCCCCUGUCUGUCCUCCCUAUAGAAAGGGGUGUGGAGAGGGGAAGACCAGUGGUGUACUAAGGAGCCAAGGCAGCAGUGUGAUAAGUCAGAGAACACAAGCUCUAGGUGCACCUAAAAUUGAACUGAGGAAUGUCUCACAUGUCCCCAGGGAACAUUUUAGUGAGCUAAUUUCCAGGAAUCAAGUUGGUAGUCUCCUCUGAUGUAAUUUUGCAAUUUAAUGGAAAUGUUAACUUUCAUUUGUUUACAUAGUCUAAUAGAGCCAAGACAUUUAGGUUAUAUGCACAUGAAAGAAUUAUAAGCCAAGCAAGUUGCAAUGAUUUGUUCUAGAUCACAAAGGGGCACUAAAUACCAUAGCUCAGACUAAAUUUAGCUGAUCGCCUGGUUCUACCUAUCAAUGGAACUAAGCAUACUACACAAAGCUAGCCUCUCAACUUAAUCCCCCUAAUGACCUUUCGACUACAAAGGCAGGCAUCAUCUUUCCCCAGGAGCUUUACCCUAGCAAUCUCU